Molecule: transfer RNA, 69 nt
Filed under: Gerrhopilus ceylonicus (Jan's worm snake)
Lineage: Eukaryota; Metazoa; Chordata; Lepidosauria; Squamata; Gerrhopilidae
Description: transfer RNA-Glu
Source: RNAcentral
GUUCUUGUAGUUGAAUAACAACGGUGAUUUUUCAGAUCAUAGGUCUUGGCAAUGUGCUAGGUAGGAAUU